GGCGAGAUGGCCGAGCGGUCUAAGGCGCCAGAAUCAGGAGAAAGCUUCUACCUUCCCGGUAGAGCUCAUCCGACAGUCGUCAAUCUGGUCCGAAAGGGCGCGGGUUCGAAUCCCGUUCUCGUCA
This 124-nucleotide transfer RNA is filed under the name Ephemerocybe angulata. RNAcentral describes it as "Coprinellus angulatus tRNA". It matches the Rfam family "tRNA". Rfam says of the family: Transfer RNA (tRNA) molecules are approximately 80 nucleotides in length. The record is from Rfam by way of RNAcentral. Lineage: Eukaryota; Fungi; Basidiomycota; Agaricomycetes; Agaricales; Psathyrellaceae.